UGGUACCCUUCGGGUGCCAGUCGUACCACGCCAGUGGUCAGGGAAUCCGGUGCGAAUCCGGAACUGACGCGCAGCGGUGAGGGGGACGGGCGGGGUACUUUGCGCCACUGGGGCGAGCCCGCGGCGACCACUGCGUCGACGCGGAACCGGCCUGGGAAGGCAUCCCGUCCGGGUGAACCCGAGUCCGAAGACCUGCUGGCCCCUCCGCGUCGAA
RNAcentral lists this non-coding RNA (214 nucleotides) under Nocardiopsis sp. The record is from RNAcentral. Lineage: Bacteria; Bacillati; Actinomycetota; Actinomycetes; Streptosporangiales; Nocardiopsidaceae. RNAcentral also lists the same sequence under 1 other name.